UGGUCAAGAAUCUUUAUUUCAAAUACUACAAAUCAACUAUACUAAAUUAGCUGAGGUGAGAAUGGUUCUAUCUAUUUUUUUAUCGUUAUUUACAUGUAUUUUCAAAUAAUCUUGGAAAAAGGCCCAGAAUUUAUUAGUUGCUUUAGGCCUCUAAAAAGCUUGAGCCGACCCUGCAAAGAAUACACACGUUGAAGGCCACCCGACUAACACACGGGGUCAUGUUUGUUGAUGGAAAGAAACCAGAAAUAACUGAAAGAUGCACGCAAAUAACGUGGCAAGUGGUGCACUUGAAACUUGGCACAAAGGUGGGUAUCACUAAGCCAUCUACCAGGAAGAAUAACAUUUGUAGUAUGUGUUUUGUUUUCCUUCUUAUUCAAUGAACUUUUAAAAACAAAUGUAUAUUCUUUUAGGCCGACUCAGUAAUAUCUACACUUUGCUUUCAGUUAUAAAAAUGUUUUAAAUACCGUGAUAAUGAUUUUGGUUGCAGGAUAGAACAUCGAGCACUAUGCAUCUGGGUUAGGCGAGGGUUAAAAGCUACAACAUUAAAAUAUAUUGGCAAGGGUUAAUAAGUCCUUAUCCAAGAUGAUUUACAAAACGAUUACCAAGUUUCUUAGGGAUUGAUUUGUGUAAUUACUUAUUGCAUAUUAGGCAACUUAUAUGUAUAUUUUAGCAUAUAUAAAUCUAAUUUUAAGUUGAUACACCAUGAGUUUUCAUAUAUUCAAGCGCAAAAUAUAGUGGUAUGUUGUGAUUUAGUUCCGACAUGCUUCAUCAAUGCUUUA
This is a long non-coding RNA of Helianthus annuus (common sunflower), 779 nucleotides long. RefSeq lists it as uncharacterized. The record is from RefSeq and is a predicted model, not a curated record. The transcript has 3 exons. Lineage: Eukaryota; Viridiplantae; Streptophyta; Magnoliopsida; Asterales; Asteraceae.